UAGAGUUUGAUCAUGGCUCAGAUUGAACGCUGGCGGCAGGCUUAACACAUGCAAGUCGAGCGGAGAUGAGGUGCUUGCACCUUAUCUUAGCGGCGGACGGGUGAGUAAUGCUUAGGAAUCUGCCUAUUAGUGGGGGACAACAUUCCGAAAGGAAUGCUAAUACCGCAUACGUCCUACGGGAGAAAGCAGGGGAUCUUCGGACCUUGCGCUAAUAGAUGAGCCUAAGUCGGAUUAGCUAGUUGGUGGGGUAAAGGCCUACCAAGGCGACGAUCUGUAGCGGGUCUGAGAGGAUGAUCCGCCACACUGGGACUGAGACACGGCCCAGACUCCUACCGGGAGGCAGCAGUGGGGAAUAUUGGACAUGGGGGAAACCUGAUCCAGCCAUGCCGCGUGUGUGAAGAAAGCCUAUGGUUGUAAGCACUUUAGCGAGGAGG
Molecule: ribosomal RNA, 434 nt
Filed under: uncultured bacterium
Lineage: Bacteria
Description: bacterial SSU rRNA
Rfam family: Bacterial small subunit ribosomal RNA
Source: RNAcentral